GAUGGAGGGGACUGAUGGAGAUGCCCCGCUGCCACCCUGGGCCGGGCUCAGCGGGUCCCACGGCGUCAGCAUCAGGAUUAGGCUUAGGCUGACGGUUAGGGGCACAACGAAGCCCGGGAGCAAGGUCCGGCCCAGCGUUAGGGUGAAGUACCCCCUCGGCUGCGGGGAAGAGCCACCUCGUCCCUGAGCCCUGGCGGCGCGCGGCGAGCUCGGGAAGAGGCUUUCACAGAGCUGCAGCAGGGCAGGAGGCCGCUGUCUGUCUGUACGUCCUUACGGUGUACGUGGCAGCCGCAGGAGUGCCUUGAUGGCCUGGGCCCUCACUUCUCCUUAUAAACUCUGCAGAAGCCUACAGAAGACGUGAUAGAGACCUGCAUGGACUAUUUGGAUGCAAAAAAGUUUUGUCUUGGAGAGCUGCUGUCCUCCCAGGUGGGGCUGCGGGAAGCAGCGGGAAGGGGGAUCUAAGGCACUUCCCAGACUCACCGCGCUGCAGAUUUAAGUACCACGAUUUUAAGUACUUCACUUUCCUGCUGCGAUGUAGCGCUAACUGCUGUUGCAGGCAGUGGGAAUUCCCACGCCCUUCGCUAACACUUUGAGGCCAAUACUUCUUUCAUGAUGCUUUAAGAAGUAGUGGAUGCAGCUCCUGUGCUUCCUCCCCUGCCUCCUCCAGUUUGGUGGCUGCCACGUGUUUCCUAUGGUGUGAAACAUCCCUACUCCAUGGAUUUCCUCUUGCAUUGGCUAAUACCUUGAAAGUUAAUUCAAGCAACCCAUGAUUAUCCUGUGGGGAAAACUGUUUUGGUCCCCUUUCACCCUUACGAGCAGUUUUAUCCACUUGCCUUUUGUUUGUGUAAGACAUUAUAGAAAUACUGCUUGCAAGGAGAACCUGCCUUCCACUUCUGGAAAAGGGGUUUUCUUUUAAUCUUCAAGUUGCAAAGUCCUCCUGGCAUUGCUUGGACAGUCUAAAACUCAGACCAUCAUUUAACCUGAGCUUUGCCAUUGCUUAUCAGGGAUGGCUUGGAUAUAAUUUGCGCUUCUUUGUAAUUAGAAAAGGCUGGUUAUUCUUAGGAACCUUAAUUAAUUAAAUUAGAGAUGAUAUUGAGGGAAUAAAGUGUUGACACAGCAAGCUAAUAACAUCCUGCUGCUAAAUAAUCUCCACGAAGAUGAGUCGUGGUCGGAAAGGAUGGCAAAGCAAUCAGCUGAGCAGAGCGGGAGCUGCGGAGUCUGCAGACGUGGGCUUGCCAGCCAGACUGCGUCACUGUGCCGGUCUCUCUGCCAGCUGCGCAGCUGGAUUUUGACUGGCCUUAACUAUAUUUCAGCCUAGGGCUACUCAGUAGAUUCUGGGCCAGAUUCGGACUGUGAGAAAAGUUUGUUUGCAUCUCACUGAGGCCCCAGAUAUGUGGUAUCUGCUGCACCCUUGCAGGAUUCACAUAUUUGCUGCCUAUUCACAUAGCUGCUGCCCGUUGCCAUCAAAGUGUUGUAGCAGGGCUGGGGAGCUGCGUCAGCUGCAGCCAGUGCAAAGCAUCCCCCCUGAGCAGACUUUGCUAAAAUUACUCAUUAAAUUAUUCAUUAAAAACAGAGGAAGUCUGUGUCACAAUGUAGCACACUGUGAAAGUGGCACGAGCUUCAUGUGCAACUUGGUGCUGUGCUAGAAAUGCCUGGUCAGGGGCAAGUUUGUCUUAUUAUUCAUUGUCAUUAUUGUCCUCGUGGUGGAACAGAAACGUUCAGUGAGGUGCCCUGUAAACGUAGGAGAUGACCAGAAAUCGGGAGCAAAACAAAAAAAAAAACUUCAAGCACAUAGUUUUAAGCCAAUCUGUAUAAUUUCUGGACAGAAAAGUAGAGUUUGUAACACAGGUCUAUCUGAGCAGAAAGAUCCAGUCCCCAAAAUAAUAGCUGUUCAACAUACAAGGUUGUUCAAAGACCCGAUGAAUUAAAAACAAGAUUUGCUUUUACUUUUGCAGCUCUGGACAAACUGCCUAAAGUUGCAGUCUAAACCAAUACUGCCUAAAAUGGCAAGUAAACUGCCUGUAAAGUUGCAACC
Non-coding RNA from Struthio camelus australis, 2035 nucleotides. Lineage: Eukaryota; Metazoa; Chordata; Aves; Struthioniformes; Struthionidae. The record is from RefSeq and is a predicted model, not a curated record.